UUAACACAUGCAAGUCGAACGAACCUUCGGGUUAGUGGCGGACGGGUGAGUAACGCGUGAGAAUCUGCCCUCNCGAGGGGGAUAACGGCUGGGAACGGCCGCUAAUACCCCCUAUGCCGAGAGGUGAAAUGAAUUUUUCCUGAGGAUGAGCUCGCGUCUGAUUAUCUAGUUGGGGGGGGAAAGGCCUACCCAGGCGACGAUCAAUAGCUGGGCUGAGAGGAUGAUCAACCACACUGGGACUGAGACACGGCCCACACUCCUACGGGAGGGAGCAGUGGGGAAUUUUUCCCAAUGGGCGAAAGCCUGACGGAGCAACGCCCCGUGAGGGAUGAAAGCCUCUGGGCUGUAAACCUCUUUUCUCUCGGAAAAAAAUCUGACAGUACUUGAGGAAUAAACCACGGCUAAUUCCNUGCCAGCAGCCNCGGNAA
RNAcentral lists this ribosomal RNA (428 nucleotides) under uncultured bacterium. RNAcentral describes it as "partial 16S ribosomal RNA". It matches the Rfam family "Bacterial small subunit ribosomal RNA", at positions 48 to 523 of the family's 1533-position model. The record is from RNAcentral.